UACAGAGGGGGCAAGCGUUGUUCGGAAUUACUGGGCGUAAAGGGCGCGUAGGCGGCCCGCUAAGUCGAACGUGAAAUCCCCGGGCUCAACCCGGGAACUGCGUCCGAUACUGGCAGGCUUGAAUCCGGGAGAGGGAUGCGGAAUUCCAGGUGUAGCGGUGAAAUGCGUAGAUAUCUGGAGGAACACCGGUGGCGAAGGCGGCAUCCUGGACCGGUAUUGACGCUCAUGCACGAAAGCGUGGGGAGCAAACAGG
Molecule: ribosomal RNA, 253 nt
Filed under: uncultured bacterium
Lineage: Bacteria
Description: partial 16S ribosomal RNA
Rfam family: Bacterial small subunit ribosomal RNA
Source: RNAcentral